GGGAGGGUCAUUGGAAACUGGGAUACUUGAGUGCCUAAGAGGAGAGUGGAAUUCCACGUGUAGCGGUGAAAUGCGUAGAGAUGUGGAGGAACACCAGUGGCGAAGGCGACUCUCUGGUCUGUAACUGACGCUGAGGCGCGAAAGCGUGGGGAGCGAACAGGAUUAGAUACCCUGGUACUCCACGCCGUAAACGAUGAGUGCUAAGUGUUAGAGGGUUUCCGCCCUUUAGUGCUGCAGCUAACGCAUUAAGCACUCCGCCUGGGGAGUACGGUCGCAAGACUGAAACUCAAAGGAAUUGACGGGGGCCCGCACAAGCGGUGGAGCAUGUGGUUUAAUUCGAAGCAACGCGAAGAACCUUACCAGGUCUUGACAUCCUU
This 377-nucleotide ribosomal RNA is filed under the name Metabacillus indicus. Its description in RNAcentral is "bacterial SSU rRNA". It matches the Rfam family "Bacterial small subunit ribosomal RNA", at positions 616 to 991 of the family's 1533-position model. Lineage: Bacteria; Bacillati; Bacillota; Bacilli; Caryophanales; Bacillaceae. The record is from RNAcentral.